AGCGAACGUUAGCGGCGGGCUUAACACAUGCAAGUCGAGCGAGAACGGGACCUUCGGGUCCUUAUUAGAGCGGCGCACGGGUGAGUAACACGUGGGUAAUCUGCCCUCCGGAGGGGGACAACCACUCGAAAGGGUGGCUAAUACCGCAUAAGUCAACCAGCACUGCGGAGCUGGUUGGGAAAGCUGGCCUCUUCUUGAAAGCUGGCACCGGAGGAGGAGCCCGCGUCGCAUCAGCUUGAUGGUGGGGUAACGGCCUACCAUGGCAAAGACGCGUAGCUGGUCUGAGAGGAUGAUCAGCCACACUGGGACUGAGACACGGCCCAGACUCCUACGGGAGGCAGCAGUGGGGAAUAUUGGACAAUGGGCGAAAGCCUGAUCCAGCCACGCCGCGUGAGUGAUGAAGGCCCUCGGGUCGUAAAGCUCUGUGGAGAGGGACGAAAGCCUGCAGGUUAAUACCCUGUAGUUUGACGGUACCUCUUUAGCAAGCACCGGCCAACUACGUGCCAGCAGCCGCGGUAAUACGUAGGGUCCGAG
This 534-nucleotide ribosomal RNA is filed under the name uncultured bacterium. RNAcentral's name for it is "bacterial SSU rRNA". It matches the Rfam family "Bacterial small subunit ribosomal RNA", at positions 29 to 538 of the family's 1533-position model. The record is from RNAcentral.